Molecule: ribosomal RNA, 270 nt
Filed under: uncultured bacterium
Lineage: Bacteria
Description: partial 16S ribosomal RNA
Rfam family: Bacterial small subunit ribosomal RNA
Source: RNAcentral
CCGGCGACCGGCGCACGGGUGAGUAACACGUAUGCGACCUGCCCCCCGCAGGGGGAUAACCGGGAGAAAUCCCGACUAAUACCGCGUAACGCCGCGGGGCUGCAUGGCCCUGCGGCCAAAGGGAGCGAUUCCGGCAACGGAUGGGCAUGCGUGACAUUAGCUAGUUGGCGGGGCAACGGCCCACCAAGGCGACGAUGGAUAGGGGUUCUGAGAGGAAGGUCCCCCACAUUGGAACUGAGACACGGUCCAAACUCCUACGGAAGGCAGCAG